Molecule: microRNA precursor, 99 nt
Filed under: Branchiostoma belcheri (Belcher's lancelet)
Lineage: Eukaryota; Metazoa; Chordata; Leptocardii; Amphioxiformes; Branchiostomatidae
Description: let-7a-2 stem-loop (bbe-let-7a-2)
Gene: bbe-let-7a-2
Rfam family: let-7 microRNA precursor family (bases 15-91)
About the family: This family represents the microRNAs (miRNA) let-7 and mir-98. let-7 was identified from a study of developmental timing in C. elegans, and was later shown to be part of a much larger class of non-coding RNAs termed miRNAs.
Source: miRBase by way of RNAcentral
AGACAAGGGUGCGCCUGAGGUGAGGUAGUAGGUUGUAUAGUUGAGAAGUACAUCAUUGGAGAUAACUGUGCAACCUGCUAGCUCUCCUUGGGGCAUGCC